RNAcentral lists this ribosomal RNA (254 nucleotides) under uncultured bacterium. RNAcentral describes it as "partial 16S ribosomal RNA". It matches the Rfam family "Bacterial small subunit ribosomal RNA", at positions 524 to 776 of the family's 1533-position model. The record is from RNAcentral.
GACAGAGGGUGCAAACGUUGUUCGGAAUUACUGGGCAUAAAGCGCGUGUAGGCGGCCUUGUAAGUCCGUUCUGAAAGCCCGGGGCUCAACCCCCGGGAGGCGGAUGGAUACUGCAGGGCUCGAGUACGGAAGAGGCGAGUGGAAUUCCCGGUGUAGCGGUGAAAUGCGCAGAUAUCGGGAGGAGCACCAAUGGCGAAGGCAGCUCGCUGGGACGUUACUGACGCUGAGACGCGAAAGCGUGGGGAGCGAACAGG